This 30-nucleotide non-coding RNA is filed under the name Mus musculus (house mouse). The record is from RNAcentral. Lineage: Eukaryota; Metazoa; Chordata; Mammalia; Rodentia; Muridae.
UACAGAUUGGUGCCACAUCUCAGUCAAGUC